This is a long non-coding RNA of Juglans microcarpa x Juglans regia, 507 nucleotides long. RefSeq lists it as uncharacterized. NCBI's taxonomy places the organism in Eukaryota, Viridiplantae, Streptophyta, Magnoliopsida, Fagales, Juglandaceae. The record is from RefSeq and is a predicted model, not a curated record. The transcript has 2 exons.
UCUGAACUCCCAAUACAAUUAUACUUACCUUGAUUUCUCAAAUAUAUUCAAGAAUCAUGGCCACAAAAACCAUUGUUUUUCGUUUGGCUUUGCUUUCGUUGGUGUUUGCUGCCCUCUUUGCUCUUCAUGAAGCAACAGGCAACCAAAACAAUGGUACUCCAAACAGUAGUGCGCCUGGGAAUCAUGAUGUUGCCGAUGCAGUCCAUGCAAGAGAUCAUGACGUGAUUAGGGGAAGCAAAUUAAAUGUUCCAUUCUGCUACAGUUCUAACUGUCAUGUUAUAGGACCCUGUUGGUGCUGCCUGUUCAAAGACGUAUGCUGGGUCCUUCAAGCAACCUGUGAAGACCUUUGUCGUCGUACUACUACUGUCUCUACAAAAGGCCGCCUCCCGCCCCUUUAAAGCUCAUCGUGAUCUCAAUCCUCCAGCUAGCACUUUAUCAGAAUUAUUGCAUUGCAAUAUUAAUGUACACCGCAUGGAUAUUAUGUCUCAGUGACUAUGAAUAAAGAAC